Molecule: non-coding RNA, 644 nt
Organism: Pseudonaja textilis
Lineage: Eukaryota; Metazoa; Chordata; Lepidosauria; Squamata; Elapidae
Source: RefSeq, a predicted model, not a curated record
CCAUCUUGUUUGUCAUAUCAGCAUAAAGCAAGCUGUUACAGUAAGUAUUUAAGAUCAUCGGCAUGUGUACCAUGUUAUCCUUCAUUAACCCUGGCAAGUCAUUGAUGUAUAAAUUAAAUAAUAAUGGGGCCAGGAUACACCCUUGCCUUAUCCCUUUAUUUGUGCAAAUCCUAUUAGUCAGGGCCCCGUAGCCCCAUACUACACCCUCAAAUAGGUACUUGUGUAAAGGGCUUUAAUCAAAGCCAGGAGUCUGGGUUCUAUUUUAAGAGAUGUCAAUUUACUCCAUAGUACGUCUCUAUUUACCAUAUCAAAUGCUGCUGUGAAGUCUAUGAAAGCAGCAAAAGGGUCUUGUCUUAUAGGCAUAUUUGGCAAUUAGAUGAUUCAAGACAAAGCAGUUAUCAAUAGUAGAUCUGCCUUGUCUAAAACCUGCUUGUUCUUCUGUGAGGAUGUUGUUUUCCCCUACCCAGAUUUCAAUUCUGUUCAAAAGGUACCUAGCAUAUAUUUUUGCUACAAUGUCAAUCAGGCUGAUGGGCCUAUAAUUACUAGGAUCCUUUUUAUUCCCUUUUUUAUAUAUGGGGACAACUAUUGCCAUCUUCUACCCAUCUGGUAUAUGGCAGGUGUUAUUUAUGUGUGUAAAAAGGCCU